ACUUUCCAACAAUGGAUCUCUUGGCUCUCGCAUCGAUGAAAAACGCACCGAAAUGCGAUAAGUAAUAUGAAUUGCAGAAUUCCGUGAAUCAUCAAAUUUUUGAACGCAAAUUGCACUUCUUGGUAUUCCGAGGAGUACACAUGCUUGAGGGUCAGUUA
This 158-nucleotide ribosomal RNA is filed under the name Gigaspora margarita. RNAcentral describes it as "5.8S ribosomal RNA". It matches the Rfam family "5.8S ribosomal RNA". Rfam says of the family: 5.8S ribosomal RNA (5.8S rRNA) is a component of the large subunit of the eukaryotic ribosome. It is transcribed by RNA polymerase I as part of the 45S precursor that also contains 18S and 28S rRNA. The record is from RNAcentral. Lineage: Eukaryota; Fungi; Glomeromycota; Glomeromycetes; Diversisporales; Gigasporaceae.